UUUUUUUUCCUACUGAAUUAUUCAUAAUGUAACUACUGAAGUAAGACCAUUAGCAUGCACCAGAUAUGCUGUUUGUCUGUUUGCUAACAUUCCUCAUUCAAGACUUGUUAACUGCCAGACCAGCUUAACACGCUCCCCUCUCACUCUAUCUCCCUCCCUGUCUCUCUUUCCUGCUUUUAAUGCCACCCCUCUCAGCCGUCUGUCGUUGCUGGGUGCUGGUAGCCAAAGGGUAGUGGUGGCAGGGGGAAUGCACGCUGUCGAUGGUCUGGAGCUAGUUGCUAGGUAAGGACCGCCUUCAGCUGUAACAGGCCUGCAAGCACUUGCACAACCAAAGAGACAGUGUACUGAAUCUGUUCUUGUCUGCUUUCCGCAGGAGGCAGCUGAACUGCAAGGUGAAUACUUUCUUUUUUGUCUCUUCGUCCCUGGUUCCAAGGCUGAUCCCACCCUCCAUGUGAGAUCGGCAUUCUUGCCUUAUUACUCAGGGAAAUGAGGACACCAGAAAAAAGAGCAAGAUGAUCAGACUACUUUCUUACCCCACUGAACAGAAGAGCAGAACAGGGAAGUGCGUUUGACGUGCAAAAUAAGGUUAAAAUCAUUGGGACCUAAAGCAAAACCGUUGCUGAUUGGCUGCAGAAAAUACAAAAGAUUAAGUAAUGAGCUUAAGACCUCUAAUAAUAAUAACUACACAAUAAUUGGAAGAGUGACGGGACCUGUGCAACUGAAGAAAGGUGGAUCGGCGCUUACAGGAAUAUGUUUGUGCUGCAGCAUGACAAAUAAUGAAAGAUUCUCAUGACUGAUUAUACAUCUGCUCCAUCAAUAAAAAAACACAGGAAAAGUUUAUAGUAAAUUAUUCAUUAUAAAGAGACCAGUAAGUUUUCUACUAUUAUAUUCUGUUCUUUAAAAAUAUAUUUGUUAACCACAGUUCUUAUAACUCUAAGCUUGUAAGUUGUAACUAUUCAUUUGCUAGGUAAUUCCACAGACUUUUGCUUACAUUCCUGCACUGAAUGAGUUAAUAGAAGCCUAAGGCUGACAGCUAUUUUCUGCUGAACCAGCAUGGUACCUUUCAUGUAAGUGACUAUUUAGUGACCCCUAUUGGCCAAAUGCUGUUACUGUGGCACAUUUUAAGUGAUCUCCAGAUUGUGUUACUAGAGACACUAACCUUAACAUUAAAUCCUUUGAACGAAAUGUUUACCUAAAAAAAAUUGCAGCAUAAUUCCUUUAUUGGUUUAUUUCAUUUAUCUUGCCUGCUUUACUUGUAAUUACCUCAUUCAAAUGCACAUCAGUGAUUUUUAAUUAUGAUUAGAAGCAAUUGGCAGUACACAUGUAUUAGCGAAUCUGUCUCUGUUUAAGUAAACGGGAAGCUCUAUCUUAUUCUGCCUCUCUCUCUCUUUCUGUCUGUCUCUUUCUGUCACUCUAUUCCUCAGGGACUGUUGCCUAGCGGUGUUGUCAGGGAGUUUUCUGGUACGUGGCUUGCCUUUUGCACAGAGUUAUAAUAUUCACACACAAACACAUUGCCUCUAUAGUCUGUGCGUCGCUUCUAUAAGUGUUCAACUCUUUAUAAUUCUUCAGCGUAUUUCCCAGAGGUAAGACGAUACAUACACAAUGUGAGUUGUCUUUUUAUGUGUGUGAUUGUCUGUGUAUAUAUACAUAUGAGUGUGUAUAUCUGUUUGUGUGUGUGUGUGUAUACGUGUGUGUAUAGGCAUGUGUGUGUAUACGUAUAUGUGUGUAUACAUGUGUGUGUGUGUUUGUCUGUGUGUAUAUCCGUGUGUGUGUAUACA
This is a long non-coding RNA of Bombina bombina (fire-bellied toad), 1778 nucleotides long. RefSeq lists it as uncharacterized. The transcript is spliced from 7 exons. The record is from RefSeq and is a predicted model, not a curated record. Lineage: Eukaryota; Metazoa; Chordata; Amphibia; Anura; Bombinatoridae.